GCCCAUCAGAAGGGGAUAACACUUGGAAACAGGUGCUAAUACCGUAUAACAAUCGAAACCGCAUGGUUUUGAUUUGAAAGGCGCUUUCGGGUGUCGCUGAUGGAUGGACCCGCGGUGCAUUAGCUAGUUGGUGAGGUAACGGCUCACCAAGGCCACGAUGCAUAGCCGACCUGAGAGGGUGAUCGGCCACAUUGGGACUGAGACACGGCCCAAACUCCUACGGGAGGCAGCAGUAGGGAAUCUUCGGCAAUGGACGAAAGUCUGACCGAGCAACGCCGCGUGAGUGAAGAAGGUUUUCGGAUCGUAAAACUCUGUUGUUAGAGAAGAACAAGGAUGAGAGUAACUGUUCAUCCCUUGACGGUAUCUAACCAGAAAGCCACGGCUAACUACGUGCCAGCAGCCGCGGUAAUACGUAGGUGGCAAGCGUUGUCCGGAUUUAUUGGGCGUAAAGCGAGCGCAGGCGGUUUCUUAAGUCUGAUGUGAAAGCCCCCGGCUCAACCGGGGAGGGUCAUUGGAAACUGGGAGACUUGAGUGCAGAAGAGGAGAGUGGAAUUCCAUGUGUAGCGGUGAAAUGCGUAGAUAUAUGGAGGAACACCAGUGGCGAAGGCGGCUCUCUGGUCUGUAACUGACGCUGAGGCUCGAAAGCGUGGGGAGCAAACAGGAUUAGAUACCCUGGUAGUCCACGCCGUAAACGAUGAGUGCUAAGUGUUGGAGGGUUUCCGCCCUUCAGUGCUGCAGCUAACGCAUUAAGCACUCCGCCUGGGGAGUACGACCGCAAGGUUGAAACUCAAAGGAAUUGACGGGGGCCCGCACAAGCGGUGGAGCAUGUGGUUUAAUUCGAAGCAACGCGAAGAACCUUACCAGGUCUUGACAUCCUUUGACCACUCUAGAGAUAGAGCUUCCCCUUCGGGGGCAAAGUGACAGGUGGUGCAUGGUUGUCGUCAGCUCGUGUCGUGAGAUGUUGGGUUAAGUCCCGCAACGAGCGCAACCCUUAUUGUUAGUUGCCAUCAUUCAGUUGGGCACUCUAGCAAGACUGCCGGUGACAAACCGGAGGAAGGUGGGGAUGACGUCAAAUCAUCAUGCCCCUUAUGACCUGGGCUACACACGUGCUACAAUGGGAAGUACAACGAGUUGCGAAGUCGCGAGGCUAAGCUAAUCUCUUAAAGCUUCUCUCAGUUCGGAUUGCAGGCUGCAACUCGC
RNAcentral lists this ribosomal RNA (1200 nucleotides) under Enterococcus faecium. Its description in RNAcentral is "bacterial SSU rRNA". It matches the Rfam family "Bacterial small subunit ribosomal RNA", at positions 128 to 1315 of the family's 1533-position model. The record is from RNAcentral. Lineage: Bacteria; Bacillati; Bacillota; Bacilli; Lactobacillales; Enterococcaceae.